RNAcentral lists this ribosomal RNA (254 nucleotides) under uncultured bacterium. Its description in RNAcentral is "partial 16S ribosomal RNA". It matches the Rfam family "Bacterial small subunit ribosomal RNA", at positions 524 to 776 of the family's 1533-position model. The record is from RNAcentral.
UACGUAGGUGGCAAGCGUUGUCCGGAUUUACUGGGCGUAAAGAGCGCGCAGGCGGUCGAUCAAGUCGCGUGUGAAAGCCCCCCGGCUCAACUGGGGAGGGUCACGCGAUACUGAUCGACUCGAAGGCAGGAGAGGGUAGUGGAAUUCCCGGUGUAGUGGUGAAAUGCGUAGAUAUCGGGAGGAACACCAGUGGCGAAGGCGACUACCUGGCCUGUUCUUGACGCUGAGGCGCGAAAGCUAGGGGAGCAAACGGG